RNAcentral lists this ribosomal RNA (253 nucleotides) under uncultured bacterium. RNAcentral's name for it is "partial 16S ribosomal RNA". It matches the Rfam family "Bacterial small subunit ribosomal RNA", at positions 524 to 776 of the family's 1533-position model. The record is from RNAcentral.
UACAGAGGUCUCAAGCGUUGUUCGGAUUCAUUGGGCGUAAAGGGUGCGUAGGUGGCGAGGUUAGUCAGGUGUGAAAUCUCGGGGCUCAACCCCGAAACUGCACUUGAUACUGCCUUGCUAGAGUACUGGAGAGGAGAUUGGAAUUUACGGUGUAGCAGUGAAAUGCGUAGAUAUCGUAAGGAAGACCAGAGGCGAAGGCGGCUACCUGGACAAUUGCUGACGCUCAGGCACGAAAGCGUGGGGAGCAAAAGGG